This 183-nucleotide ribosomal RNA is filed under the name uncultured bacterium. RNAcentral's name for it is "partial 16S ribosomal RNA". It matches the Rfam family "Bacterial small subunit ribosomal RNA", at positions 28 to 239 of the family's 1533-position model. The record is from RNAcentral.
AACGAACGCUGGCGGCAGGCCUAACACAUGCAAGUCGAGCGCCCCGCAAGGGGAGCGGCGCACGGGUGAGUAACGCGUGGGAAUAUGCCCUGGGGCUGGGGAUAACGGCGGGAAACUGCCGCUAAUACCCGGUACGCCUUGAGAGGGAAAGGAGCAAUCCGCCCUGGGAGUAGCCCGCGUUGG